This 292-nucleotide ribosomal RNA is filed under the name uncultured bacterium. Its description in RNAcentral is "partial 16S ribosomal RNA". It matches the Rfam family "Bacterial small subunit ribosomal RNA", at positions 505 to 796 of the family's 1533-position model. The record is from RNAcentral.
GUGCCAGCAGCCGCGGUAAGACGUAGGGCGCGAGCGUUGUCCGGAUUUAUUGGGCGUAAAGAGCUCGUAGGCGGCUCAUUGCGUCAACCGUGAAAUCUCACAGCUCAACUGUGGGUCUGCGGUUGAUACGGGUGGGCUGGAGUUCGGUAGGGGAGACUGGAAUUCCUGGUGUAGCGGUGAAAUGCGCAGAUAUCAGGAGGAACACCGGUGGCGAAGGCGGGUCUCUGGGCCGAUACUGACGCUGAGGAGCGAAAGCGUGGGGAGCGAACAGGAUUAGAAACCCGCGUAGUCC